This 468-nucleotide ribosomal RNA is filed under the name uncultured bacterium. RNAcentral describes it as "partial 16S ribosomal RNA". It matches the Rfam family "Bacterial small subunit ribosomal RNA", at positions 28 to 507 of the family's 1533-position model. The record is from RNAcentral.
GACGAACGCUGGCGGCGUGCUUAACACAUGCAAGUCGAACGGAAAGGCCCUGCUUUUGUGGGGUGCUCGAGUGGCGAACGGGUGAGUAACACGUGAGUAACCUGCCCUUGACUUUGGGAUAACUUCAGGAAACUGGGGCUAAUACCGGAUAGGAGCUCCUGCUGCAUGGUGGGGGUUGGAAAGUUUCGGCGGUUGGGGAUGGACUCGCGGCUUAUCAGCUUGUUGGUGGGGUAGUGGCUUACCAAGGCUUUGACGGGUAGCCGGCCUGAGAGGGUGACCGGCCACAUUGGGACUGAGGUACGGCCCCGCCUCCUACGGGCGGCAGCAGUGGGGAAUAUUGCACAAUGGGCGGAAGCCUGAUGCAGCAACGCCGCGUGCGGGAUGACGGCCUUCGGGUUGUAAACCGCUUUCGCCUGUGACGAAGCGUGAGUGACGGUAAUGGGUAAAGAAGCACCGGCUAACUACGUG